This 254-nucleotide ribosomal RNA is filed under the name uncultured bacterium. RNAcentral describes it as "partial 16S ribosomal RNA". It matches the Rfam family "Bacterial small subunit ribosomal RNA", at positions 524 to 776 of the family's 1533-position model. The record is from RNAcentral.
UACGUAGGGCGCAAGCGUUGUCCGGAAUUAUUGGGCGUAAAGAGCUCGUAGGCGGUUUCGUAAGUCGGAUGUGAAAACUCCAGGCUCAACUUGGAGACGCCAUUCGAUACUGCGAUGACUUGAGUCCGGAAGAGGAGAGUGGAAUUCCUGGUGUAGCGGUGAAAUGCGCAGAUAUCAGGAAGAACACCCGUGGCUAAGGCGGCUCUCUAGUACGGUACUGACGCUGAGACGCGAAAGCGUGGGGAGCGAACAGG